This is a long non-coding RNA of Toxotes jaculatrix (banded archerfish), 1208 nucleotides long. RefSeq lists it as uncharacterized. NCBI's taxonomy places the organism in Eukaryota, Metazoa, Chordata, Actinopteri, Toxotidae. The transcript has 2 exons. The record is from RefSeq and is a predicted model, not a curated record.
CUGAUUUCUAUUGCUCUCCUAUGGCAAUGUCAAAAUUAAUAAAACAGAAGCAGAAAUAUUGUCUUUUUUUUUUUUAUUUCAGGAUUUUUUCCCUCUCUGGUCAAAAAGUGGAGCCUACAUUACCCACAAUACAACUCGACCACCUACAAAUGCUUCAAAAUGCUUUAAAUUAUAGCGGAGGUCUGACUGUGCCACCUGAAUACACACAAAUUUCCUGAGUCUACUGUGAGUACAAUCAGGAAAUUGCCUGCUUCUUUCUUGACAAAGUGAGCCACUGCUAGAUUAAUCUCAACACUGCUUUGAUGCUUCGGAGGGAGGGAGGCAGGCAGCAGAUGUUGGAUUGAGCUCCUCCUUUUGGGAAUAAGUUACUCGUCGUGUUACUAAAGAAAACAGCGCAGCUUUACGCAUCGCAUUUCGCGGAGGCUGCUGGAGGUCUGCUGAGAAGCCCUUCAAGCUACGAGACGGAAGAAAACAGCCGAGGACAGACACCAACGAUCGACGAGGCUUGAGGUGCGAUCUGCCAACGAAACUGUGCCCACUGUUAAACAGCCAACUGUCUCUUUCCACUGGAACCAUGGUGACAGCAGUCCUUAAGUUGUAUUUUAUUGGAACCGCGCUGACUGUCCUUGCAGUCAUUUAUGGAAUAGUAGACUCCUUUGGCGGGCUAAUGUACGCCCAGAACCACAACUACAUACUGGAGCUGGACCACCAGACACAGAGAGAGCUGUCAUCAAGCAUCCGCCAGAGAGGGUCGACGGUGACUAAAAACAUCGGCUCAUAGCGGGAACAUCUUGGUCACAAUUUAAAAAAAUGUCCACUGGGUGGACAUGUUGGACACCAUGGCAAUGGAUCAAGAGAGCGUGAGACUUCAUAUUUACUGGAGAUACUAGCUGGACUGGUCCCAUUGCUGACUAUCUAGGUCAUUGUUGUGUUGAGCUUGUUGGACGUGUUGUGCCCUUUGAAUAAGCUCUACACUUGACAGUUUACUAAUGGAUGCCUAAGUGGAAUGUCUCUGUGAGUCCUGCUUUGAAUCAUCUGCUGUCCAACUCUGUAGCAGCUAGUUUGUGUAAGAGCAACAAGAAAUCUGACGACAAAUGUAACGGCACUACUGAACAAUGAUUUGCACUAAUAACGAGAAAGGUUCUUCACUUCUCGGGUUGAUGUGUACAUUCUGAUGUUUUUUUUUAAAUAAAAGGAAUUAAAAUGAA